AGCGAACUAACAGGCAGCCAGCAUACUCGGUAGUGCGUAGGGCUCAAGCGUUAUUAGGAGUUAUUGAGAGUAAAGAGCUCGUAGUGUGGCUGUUGGUGUUGGAUGUGAAAGCCCGGGGCUUGACUCCGGAUUUGCAGUGGACAGGGGCGAGCUAGAGUUCGGUAGGGGAGAUUGGAAUUCUAGGUGUAGCGGUGAACAGAUCAGAUGUCAGGAGGAACUCGGGUGGGGAAGUCUGAUCUCUGAUCCGAUACUGGCGGAGAGAAAGGAAAGGGAGGGGAGUGAACAGGAUUAGAUUCUAGGGUAGUCCCUCCGUAAACGGUGGGCUGUAGGUGUGCCUUCAUUGCUCUUUGUCCGGCACGCAGCGAAUUCAUUAAGUGGCCCGCGGGGUGCGUCCGGAAGCAAGUUAACAGUCAAAGGGAUGCGGGGGGGCCAGCCAAGUGUCAGACCAUUUGAUUAACUUUGCCUUGAGGGACUUUCCUAACAAGUCAUGACAUCCACCGUGAUGAGCAGGUGCGUCGCCCCCUAUCUAAGCCCCCGCGGGGUCGUCCGAUGGUCAUAAAUGUUUCCCCCGAAAGGCACAUUCGGUAUUAGCCCAAGUUUCCCAGAGUUAUUCCGUAG
Molecule: ribosomal RNA, 618 nt
Filed under: uncultured Fibrobacter sp.
Lineage: Bacteria; Pseudomonadati; Fibrobacterota; Fibrobacteria; Fibrobacterales; Fibrobacteraceae
Description: partial 16S ribosomal RNA
Rfam family: Bacterial small subunit ribosomal RNA
Source: RNAcentral